Molecule: ribosomal RNA, 501 nt
Filed under: uncultured bacterium
Lineage: Bacteria
Description: partial 16S ribosomal RNA
Rfam family: Bacterial small subunit ribosomal RNA
Source: RNAcentral
AUUGAACGCUGGCGGCAGGCUUAACACAUGCAAGUCGAGCGGAGAUGAGGUGCUUGCACCUUAUCUUAGCGGCGGACGGGUGAGUAAUGCUUAGGAAUCUGCCUAUUAGUGGGGGACAACAUUCCGAAAGGAAUGCUAAUACCGCAUACGUCCUACGGGAGAAAGCAGGGGAUCUUCGGACCUUGCGCUAAUAGAUGAGCCUAAGUCGGAUUAGCUAGUUGGUGGGGUAAAGGCCCACCAAGGCGAGGAUCUGUAGCGGGUCUGAGAGGAUGAUCCGCCACAAUGGGACUGAGACACGGCCCAGGCUCCUACGGGAGGCAGCAGUGGGGGAUAUUGGACAAUGGGGGGAACCCUGAUCCAGCCAUUCCGCGUGUGUGAAGAAGGCCUUAUGGUUGUAAAGCACUUUAAGCGAGGAGGAGGAUACUGAGACUAAUACUCUUGGAUAGUGGACGUUACUCGCAGAAUAAGCACCGGCUAACUCUGUGCCAGCCGCCGCCGUAA